GUUGGGACAAAAUUGAACAAACAAGAUGAGUUUGGUGCUUUGGAAAGUGUGAAAGCUGCUAGUGAACUCUAUUCUCCUUUAUCAGGAGAAGUAACUGAAAUUAAUGAAGCUCUUGCAGAAAAUCCAGGACUUGUAAACAAAUCUUGUUAUGAAGAUGAUGGAGUUUCGCUCUUCUUGUCCAAGCUGGAGUGCAAUGGCACAAUCUUGGCUCACUGCAACCUCCGCCUCCCGGGUUCAAGUGAUUCUUCUGCCUCAGCCCCCUGAGUAGCUGGGGUUACAGCACAGGAAAAAGAAGAUAAAGUAGGAGAGGGAUCAGUUUCACAUUCAGUCCUAAGCAGCAACACGGUUGAGAUGUAAUCAUAAAAGCAAAUAUUUCACCCAGGACAUGGAAAAGCGGCGGAUCACCAGAAAGCAGAGAGUCAAACGCUGCAAGCAGAAGCAGUAAGAAGACGCCACGUUUGGAGCAAGGUCUUAUUUACACCUGCCAUGGUCAUCGGCUCGCUCUUUUAGGUCUCCCCAACCCGGCCCCCAAAAAGAGGUUAUAUGCAGAGGUAAUAUAAUAUAUGUACUUUUGAAAAUAACAAAGUCACCGUGGAGAUAAUUUCAAAACAAUUUAUUUUCAUUUUCAGAUACAUUGGACUAUUUCACUGAUGUUAAAAAGAGUAUGACUUGUUUAAAUUUUUUGUUGUUUCUUUUUUGCAGCCUAAUGUUCUGUAAUAGUAACUUGCUUCCAAGUAAAGUAUGAAAAGUUAGUGGAGGGGCCAUGGCUGUGGUCUCUGAUAGGUCAAACUAUACUAUUUUGGAAUGCGUGGAGUUAGAACAAAGUUUUUAUUUUGUUAUUAAUUAGUAAAGCAAUAAAUAAAAUUGUCU
RNAcentral lists this long non-coding RNA (870 nucleotides) under Homo sapiens (human). RNAcentral describes it as "HSALNT0234218". The record is from RNAcentral. Lineage: Eukaryota; Metazoa; Chordata; Mammalia; Primates; Hominidae.